Molecule: long non-coding RNA, 947 nt
Filed under: Monodelphis domestica (gray short-tailed opossum)
Lineage: Eukaryota; Metazoa; Chordata; Mammalia; Didelphimorphia; Didelphidae
Description: lncRNA (ENSMODG00000045305.1)
Source: RNAcentral
GGGUGGAGGGGCGCCCUGGGGAAGGAGACAGCCGGCCCGCUGCCUUUGACCAGGGGAUGGAAGACCAGGCCCUUAGGGAACAACCUGGGAGGUGGGGGCGUGAGCCAGUAAUGGAAAAGGCAGACAGGAUAGAGAGGGAGAGGGAAGGCGAAUCGAGGGAAGGUGCGGGAUGGAGAAAAAGCGAGUAGAAAGGAACCGGGUCUACAGCAGAAGACAAUCUAAGGGUUUGGGGGAAGGGAGGAGGGCAAGAAAGGCACAUAGUUGGUAGCAAAGCAAAAGAAGAGGGACUGGAGCCAGAGAAGGAAGACACUAGAGAGAGGAUGAUUGGGGUGUGGGGUGGGAGGUGAGAACAAUGGUCAAGUAUCAGACGAGGGUUCCACUGACAAUAACAAAAAAAAAAACACAAAAAAACGGCCAGUUGGAGACCAUAAGGGCAAGAAUGAAAGGGUGUCAAAAGGUUUAGAAGUCCAUCAUUGCAGCACUGGUAUCUCCCAGCAUGUCCAUGGCAACAACAUCCAUCAAUAUGGCAGUGGAAGCAAAUGUUUUGGAGGGAACCCACUGAAAAAGGACUGGCCAGUUUCACCAUUUCAGUGUCAGGCCAAUAUUGGAAGUUGAUAAGAGAUUGCCAAGCAAGGUGAGAUAUGAAAAGGCUAAUUAAUAAGCAGUCUGUCAGAUUACAGUAUGUCUUAAAAAAAAAAACACAACCUUACCUUCUGUCUUUGAAUCAAUACUGUAUUUUGGUUCCAAGGCAGAAGAGUGGUAAGAGCUAGGCAGUGAGGGUCAAGUGACUUGCCCAGGGUCACACAGCUGGGAAGUGUCUGAGGCCAGAUUUGAACCUACAACCUCCUGUUUCUCAAUCCACUGAGCUACCUAGCUGCCCCCUACAGUAUGUCUUGAUAAGGCUAAAAUACCAUCCUUCCAACAAUUAUAAUUUAAGGUACUGGAUC